AUCGGAGAAGGAUUAGCCCGCGUUAGAUUAGGUAGUUGGUGGGGUAAUGGCCUACCAAGCCUACGAUCUAUAGCUGGUUUGAGAGGAUGAUCAGCCACACUGGGACUGAGACACGGCCCAGACUCCUACGGGAGGCAGCAGUAGGGAAUCUUAGUCAAUGGGGGCAACCCUGAUCUAGCCAUGCCG
Molecule: ribosomal RNA, 186 nt
Filed under: uncultured Alphaproteobacteria bacterium
Lineage: Bacteria; Pseudomonadati; Pseudomonadota; Alphaproteobacteria
Description: partial 16S ribosomal RNA
Rfam family: Bacterial small subunit ribosomal RNA
Source: RNAcentral